RNAcentral lists this ribosomal RNA (477 nucleotides) under uncultured bacterium. Its description in RNAcentral is "partial 16S ribosomal RNA". It matches the Rfam family "Bacterial small subunit ribosomal RNA", at positions 30 to 507 of the family's 1533-position model. The record is from RNAcentral.
AUUGAACGCUGGCGGCAUGCCUUACACAUGCAAGUCGAACGGUAACAGGUUAAGCUGACGAGUGGCGAACGGGUGAGUAAUGUAUCGGAACGUGCCCAGUCGUGGGGGAUAACUGCUCGAAAGAGCAGCUAAUACCGCAUACGACCUGAGGGUGAAAGCGGGGGAUCGCAAGACCUCGCGCGAUUGGAGCGGCCGAUAUCAGAUUAGGUAGUUGGUGAGGUAAAGGCUCACCAAGCCGACGAUCUGUAGCUGGUCUGAGAGGACGACCAGCCACACUGGGACUGAGACACGGCCCAGACUCCUACGGGAGGCAGCAGUGGGGAAUUUUGGACAAGGGGCGCAAGCCUGAUCCAGCCAUGCCGCGUGCGGGAAGAAGGCUUUCGGGUUGUAAACCGCUUUUGUCAGGGAAGAAAAGGUUCUGGCUAAUACCUGGGACUCAUGACGGUACCUGAAGAAUAAGCACCGGCUAACUACGUG